This 459-nucleotide ribosomal RNA is filed under the name uncultured bacterium. RNAcentral describes it as "partial 16S ribosomal RNA". It matches the Rfam family "Bacterial small subunit ribosomal RNA", at positions 338 to 795 of the family's 1533-position model. The record is from RNAcentral.
CCUACGGGCGGCUGCAGUGAGGAAUAUUGGUCAAUGGCCGCAGGGCUGAACCAGCCAAGUCGCGUGAGGGAUGGCGGUCCUAUGGAUUGUAAACCUCUUUUGUCAGGGAGCAAAGGGCGCCACGUGUGGCGCUUUGCGAGUACCUGAAGAAAAAGCAUCGGCUAACUCCGUGCCAGCAGCCGCGGUAAUACGGAGGAUGCGAGCGUUAUCCGGAUUUAUUGGGUUUAAAGGGUGCGGAGGCGGAAUGUCAAGUCAGCGGUAAAAUUUCGGGGCUCAACCCCGUCGUGCCGUUGAAACUGGCGUUCUUGAGUGAGCGAGAAGUAUGCGGAAUGCGUGGUGUAGCGGUGAAAUGCAUAGAUAUCACGCAGAACUCCGAUUGCGAAGGCAGCAUACCGGCGCUCAACUGACGCUCAUGCACGAAAGCGUGGGUAUCGAACAGGAUUAGAUACCCCAGUAGUC